RNAcentral lists this small nuclear RNA (23 nucleotides) under Arabidopsis thaliana (thale cress). RNAcentral describes it as "snRNA_01422". Lineage: Eukaryota; Viridiplantae; Streptophyta; Magnoliopsida; Brassicales; Brassicaceae. The record is from RNAcentral.
ACAGAAUAGUGGAGAACAACUGG